Molecule: long non-coding RNA, 1210 nt
Organism: Marmota monax (woodchuck)
Lineage: Eukaryota; Metazoa; Chordata; Mammalia; Rodentia; Sciuridae
Exons: 2
Source: RefSeq, a predicted model, not a curated record
UGAGAGCUUUUACCCUAAUGAUAAUUAUUAUCAUAUCCCUGAUGAUCUUAAUAACACUUAUGUUUUAAGAGCUUUACGGUUUGCACAGUUCGUUUACAGACCCGUUUUGAGGUUGUUGAUAGAGCUACAGACCAUCAACUCCAUUUCAUUGAUGAACCUAAAGCUUAAGUCCUGCAGCAAAAAUGUAGUCGAUUGGCAAGAUUCCAGAGCACAUUCCUUUUCUAUACCUUGCUGGCUGCGCAGUAUUUCAUCGCUUAUCAGCUUCGUGCAGUGUGUGCAGUAGAGUUUCUCUCCUACCAGACUAUAUGACAAUAACUGCCUCAACUUUCUCUGGUUUCCAUAUUGUACCCUGUACAUUAUGCGGGAGGCUGGGGAUGAUGUUGCAUGAAUGACCUGGAUUCUAGUCUUGGCCUUGCUAAUUACCUUUAAAAAGUUACUUUAUUUCUUAAGACCCCCAACUCCAAUAUCUGGUAAAUGAUGAGAUGCUUUAGAUCAUUUGUUCUCAACCAGAUUCAGAUUUGUGCCUUUCCAACUCCGCCAUCCCCGUAUUUGUCUAUGUCUGAAUAUAUUUUUUACUGUUGCAUUUGUGGUGUGGGGGUUGUUGACAUCCAGGGAUUAGAGGCCAGGAAAGUUGCUCAAUGUCCUAGCAUGCACAGGACAUCCCCACAAGGAAGCAAUGUAGCCUAGAAUGUCAGUAGUUCAGAGAUUGACAAACCCUAGGUUAAAUGAUUUUUAAGAUCCUUUGCAGCCACUCUGUAACUUGUCCUUUGGACUUCCUGUUAGACUGCUAGAGCUGGAAGAGGACAGAAGUAAAAAUCUCUGCUUCGGAGUCAGACCAGCCCAGUGGCUGGAAAGAGACACCCAGGCAUCUCUUAACAUCACCAAGGUGGAAGACCAAGUGCCUGCAAGCUCAUUGUUGAGGUGUAUUAACUCCAUCCUAAGUCAAGGGUCCCAGUUGGCAGUACCCUACACAGAUGGAGCCUGAUCCUGUCAACCAAGCAUCCUGGCUUCCAAGGAAAAUCAAGAUGUUACUUAGCAGACAUUAUGAUUGAUGUAUGUAUAUAGGUGACUCUAUGACCAGUGUGAUUCUGCAAUCUGUACAAUUAGAAAAUGAGAAAUUAUACCCCAAUGAUACAAAUGUAUGAAUUGCCAAGAUCAUUGUAAUGUCAUGUGUCGAUAAUAAUAAUAAAAAAAAAGGUGUUACUUAGUG